Molecule: transfer RNA, 71 nt
Filed under: Parus major (Great Tit)
Lineage: Eukaryota; Metazoa; Chordata; Aves; Passeriformes; Paridae
Description: tRNA (ENSPMJG00000000030.1)
Rfam family: tRNA
About the family: Transfer RNA (tRNA) molecules are approximately 80 nucleotides in length. Their secondary structure includes four short double-helical elements and three loops (D, anti-codon, and T loops). Further hydrogen bonds mediate the characteristic L-shaped molecular structure. tRNAs have two regions of fundamental functional importance: the anti-codon, which is responsible for specific mRNA codon recognition, and the 3' end, to which the tRNAs corresponding amino acid is attached (by aminoacyl-tRNA synthetases). tRNAs cope with the degeneracy of the genetic code in two manners: having more than one tRNA (with a specific anti-codon) for a particular amino acid; and 'wobble' base-pairing, i.e. permitting non-standard base-pairing at the 3rd anti-codon position.
Source: RNAcentral
GCAGGCAUAGUUUCAAACCAAAACAUUAGAUUGUGAUUCUAAAAACAGAAGUUAAACCCUUCUUGCCCGCC